CACCGGCACUCAUGCCGGAAUGAUAAUAACGAUGAAAUUCCUCUUUGACGGGCCAAUAUGAUUAUUGGCCAUUUUUUU
Molecule: small RNA, 78 nt
Filed under: Enterobacter sp. kpr-6
Lineage: Bacteria; Pseudomonadati; Pseudomonadota; Gammaproteobacteria; Enterobacterales; Enterobacteriaceae
Description: sroB RNA
Rfam family: sroB RNA
Source: RNAcentral